Molecule: ribosomal RNA, 425 nt
Filed under: uncultured bacterium
Lineage: Bacteria
Description: partial 16S ribosomal RNA
Rfam family: Bacterial small subunit ribosomal RNA
Source: RNAcentral
GUGGGGAAUAUUGGACAAUGGGCGCAAGCCUGAUCCAGCCAUGCCGCGUGAGUGAUGAAGGCCUUAGGGUUGUAAAGCUCUUUCGUCAGGGAAGAUAAUGACGGUACCUGAAGAAGAAGCCCCGGCUAACUUCGUGCCAGCAGCCGCGGUAAUACGAAGGGGGCUAGCGUUGCUCGGAAUCACUGGGCGUAAAGCGCACGUAGGCGGCUUUCUAAGUCAGGGGUGAAAUCCUGGAGCUCAACUCCAGCACUGCCUUUGAUACUGGAGAGCUUGAGUUCGGGAGAGGUGAGUGGAACUGCGAGUGUAGAGGUGAAAUUCGUAGAUAUUCGCAAGAACACCAGUGGCGAAGGCGGCUCACUGGCCCGAUACUGACGCUGAGGUGCGAAAGCGUGGGGAGCAAACAGGAUUAGAAACCCCAGUAGUCC